GGGGUGGUUGCGCAGUUGGCUAGCGCGUAUGUCUCAUACCUUUUCUUUGAGUUAUCUUUAGGUCGAGAGUUCGAGCCUCUCUCACCCCA
RNAcentral lists this transfer RNA (89 nucleotides) under Oryza punctata. It matches the Rfam family "tRNA". From Rfam's summary of the family: Transfer RNA (tRNA) molecules are approximately 80 nucleotides in length. Their secondary structure includes four short double-helical elements and three loops (D, anti-codon, and T loops). Lineage: Eukaryota; Viridiplantae; Streptophyta; Magnoliopsida; Poales; Poaceae. The record is from Rfam by way of RNAcentral.